This 505-nucleotide ribosomal RNA is filed under the name Pseudomonas aeruginosa. RNAcentral describes it as "bacterial SSU rRNA". Lineage: Bacteria; Pseudomonadati; Pseudomonadota; Gammaproteobacteria; Pseudomonadales; Pseudomonadaceae. The record is from RNAcentral.
UGAGAGGAUGAUCAGUCACACUGGAACUGAGACACGGUCCAGACUCUACGGGAGGCAGCAGUGGGGAAUAUUGGACAAUGGGSGAWAGCCUGAUCCAKCCAUGCCGCGUGUGGAAGAAGGUCUUCGGAUUGUAAAGCACUUUAAGUUGGGAGGAAGGGCAGUAAGUUAAUACCUUGCUGUUUUGACGUUACCAACAGAAUAAGCACCGGCUAACUUCGUGCCAGCAGCCGCGGUAAUACGAAGGGUGCAAGCGUUAAUCGGAAUUACUGGGCGUAAAGCGCGCGUAGGUGGUUCAGCAAGUUGGAUGUGAAAUCCCCGGGCUCAACCUGGGAACGGCAUCCAAAUCUUCUGAGCUAGAGUACUGUAGAGGGUGGUGGAAUUUCGUGUGUAGCGGUGAAAUGCGUAGAUAUAGGAAGGAACACCAGUGGCGAAGGCGACCACCUGGAGUGGAUACUGACACUUAGGUGCGAAAGCGUGGGGAGCAAACGAGGAUUAGAUACCUCUG